GACGAACGCUGGCGGCGUGCUUAACACAUGCAAGUCGAACGAAGAGCGAUGGAUGCUUGCUUCUAUCAGUCUUAGUGGCGGACGGGUGAGUAACGCGUAAUCAACCUGCCCUUCUGAGGGGGCCAACAGUUGGAAACGACUGCUCAUACCGCAUACGAUCUAAUCUCGGCAUCGAGGGGAGAUGAAAGGUGGCCUCUACAUGUAAGCUAUCACUUCAGGAGGGGAUUGGGUCUGAUAGCUAGUUGGAGGGGUAACGGCCCACCGAGGCGAGGAUCAGUAGCCGGACGGAGAGGAUGAACGGCCACAUUGGGACUGAGACACGGCCCAGACGCCUACGGGAGGCAGCAGGGGGGAAUCGUCCGCAAUGGACGAAAGUCUGACGGAGCAACGCCGCGUGAGGGAUGACGGCCUUCGGGUUGUAAAGGUCUGUUAAUCGGGACGAAAGGCCUUCUUGCGAAUAGUGAGAAGGAUUGACGGUACCGGAAUAGAAAGCCACGGCUAACUACGUG
Molecule: ribosomal RNA, 509 nt
Filed under: uncultured bacterium
Lineage: Bacteria
Description: partial 16S ribosomal RNA
Rfam family: Bacterial small subunit ribosomal RNA
Source: RNAcentral